AGAGUUUGAUCCUGGCUCAGAUUGAACGCUGGCGGCAUGCCUUACACAUGCAAGUCGAACGGCAGCACGGGUGCUUGCACCUGGUGGCGAGUGGCGAACGGGUGAGUAAUAUAUCGGAACGUACCUUAUCGUGGGGGAUAACGCAGCGAAAGCUGCGCUAAUACCGCAUACGCCCUGAGGGGGAAAGCGGGGGACCGUAAGGCCUCGCGCGAUUAGAGCGGCCGAUAUCUGAUUAGCUUGUUGGUGGGGUAAAAGCCCACCAAGGCGACGAUCAGUAGCUGGUCUGAGAGGACGAUCAGCCACACAUGGGACUGAGACACGGCCCAGACUCCUACGGGAGGCAGCAGUGGGGAAUUUUGGACAAUGGGGGCAACCCUGAUCCAGCAAUGCCGCGUGAGUGAAGAAGGCCUUCGGGUUGUAAAGCUCUUUUGUCAGGGAAGAAACAGCAGCUCUAACACAGUCUGCGAAUGACGGUACCUGAAGAAUAAGCACCGGCUAACUACGUGCCAGCAGCCGCGGUAAUACGUAGGGUGCAAGCGUUAAUCGGAAUUACUGGGCGUAAAGCGUGCGCAGGCGGUUAUACAAGACAGGCGUGAAAUCCCCGGG
RNAcentral lists this ribosomal RNA (606 nucleotides) under uncultured freshwater bacterium. Its description in RNAcentral is "bacterial SSU rRNA". It matches the Rfam family "Bacterial small subunit ribosomal RNA", at positions 8 to 607 of the family's 1533-position model. The record is from RNAcentral.